UACGGGGGGAGCAAGCGUUGUUCGGAUUUACUGGGCGUAAAGGGCGCGUAGGCGGCCACUGCAAGUCAAUUGUGAAAUCUCCGGGCUUAACUCGGAAAGGUCAACUGAUACUGCGGGGCUAGAGUGCGGAAGGGGCAACUGGAAUUCUCGGUGUAGCGGUGAAAUGCGUAGAUAUCGAGAGGAACACCUGCGGCGAAGGCGGGUUGCUGGGCCGACACUGACGCUGAUGCGCGAAAGCCAGGGGAGCGAACGGG
RNAcentral lists this ribosomal RNA (254 nucleotides) under uncultured bacterium. RNAcentral's name for it is "partial 16S ribosomal RNA". It matches the Rfam family "Bacterial small subunit ribosomal RNA", at positions 524 to 776 of the family's 1533-position model. The record is from RNAcentral.